AUGGCGUAAACGUUCUCCGCUGCC
This 24-nucleotide non-coding RNA is filed under the name Arabidopsis thaliana (thale cress). The record is from RNAcentral. Lineage: Eukaryota; Viridiplantae; Streptophyta; Magnoliopsida; Brassicales; Brassicaceae.